This 1538-nucleotide ribosomal RNA is filed under the name Enterobacter asburiae. RNAcentral describes it as "bacterial SSU rRNA". It matches the Rfam family "Bacterial small subunit ribosomal RNA". The record is from RNAcentral. Lineage: Bacteria; Pseudomonadati; Pseudomonadota; Gammaproteobacteria; Enterobacterales; Enterobacteriaceae.
UUGAAGAGUUUGAUCAUGGCUCAGAUUGAACGCUGGCGGCAGGCCUAACACAUGCAAGUCGAGCGGUAGCACAGGAGAGCUUGCUCUCUGGGUGACGAGCGGCGGACGGGUGAGUAAUGUCUGGGAAACUGCCUGAUGGAGGGGGAUAACUACUGGAAACGGUAGCUAAUACCGCAUAACGUCGCAAGACCAAAGAGGGGGACCUUCGGGCCUCUUGCCAUCAGAUGUGCCCAGAUGGGAUUAGCUAGUAGGUGGGGUAACGGCUCACCUAGGCGACGAUCCCUAGCUGGUCUGAGAGGAUGACCAGCCACACUGGAACUGAGACACGGUCCAGACUCCUACGGGAGGCAGCAGUGGGGAAUAUUGCACAAUGGGCGCAAGCCUGAUGCAGCCAUGCCGCGUGUAUGAAGAAGGCCUUCGGGUUGUAAAGUACUUUCAGCGGGGAGGAAGGUGUUGAGGUUAAUAACCUCAGCAAUUGACGUUACCCGCAGAAGAAGCACCGGCUAACUCCGUGCCAGCAGCCGCGGUAAUACGGAGGGUGCAAGCGUUAAUCGGAAUUACUGGGCGUAAAGCGCACGCAGGCGGUCUGUCAAGUCGGAUGUGAAAUCCCCGGGCUCAACCUGGGAACUGCAUUCGAAACUGGCAGGCUAGAGUCUUGUAGAGGGGGGUAGAAUUCCAGGUGUAGCGGUGAAAUGCGUAGAGAUCUGGAGGAAUACCGGUGGCGAAGGCGGCCCCCUGGACAAAGACUGACGCUCAGGUGCGAAAGCGUGGGGAGCAAACAGGAUUAGAUACCCUGGUAGUCCACGCCGUAAACGAUGUCGACUUGGAGGUUGUUCCCUUGAGGAGUGGCUUCCGGAGCUAACGCGUUAAGUCGACCGCCUGGGGAGUACGGCCGCAAGGUUAAAACUCAAAUGAAUUGACGGGGGCCCGCACAAGCGGUGGAGCAUGUGGUUUAAUUCGAUGCAACGCGAAGAACCUUACCUACUCUUGACAUCCAGAGAACUUUCCAGAGAUGGAUUGGUGCCUUCGGGAACUCUGAGACAGGUGCUGCAUGGCUGUCGUCAGCUCGUGUUGUGAAAUGUUGGGUUAAGUCCCGCAACGAGCGCAACCCUUAUCCUUUGUUGCCAGCGGUCCGGCCGGGAACUCAAAGGAGACUGCCAGUGAUAAACUGGAGGAAGGUGGGGAUGACGUCAAGUCAUCAUGGCCCUUACGAGUAGGGCUACACACGUGCUACAAUGGCGCAUACAAAGAGAAGCGACCUCGCGAGAGCAAGCGGACCUCAUAAAGUGCGUCGUAGUCCGGAUUGGAGUCUGCAACUCGACUCCAUGAAGUCGGAAUCGCUAGUAAUCGUAGAUCAGAAUGCUACGGUGAAUACGUUCCCGGGCCUUGUACACACCGCCCGUCACACCAUGGGAGUGGGUUGCAAAAGAAGUAGGUAGCUUAACCUUCGGGAGGGCGCUUACCACUUUGUGAUUCAUGACUGGGGUGAAGUCGUAACAAGGUAACCGUAGGGGAACCUGCGGUUGGAUCACCUCCUU